RNAcentral lists this ribosomal RNA (465 nucleotides) under Vreelandella stevensii. RNAcentral's name for it is "partial 16S ribosomal RNA". It matches the Rfam family "Bacterial small subunit ribosomal RNA", at positions 338 to 795 of the family's 1533-position model. The record is from RNAcentral. Lineage: Bacteria; Pseudomonadati; Pseudomonadota; Gammaproteobacteria; Oceanospirillales; Halomonadaceae.
CCUACGGGCGGCAGCAGUGGGGAAUAUUGGACAAUGGGCGAAAGCCUGAUCCAGCCAUGCCGCGUGUGUGAAGAAGGCCUUCGGGUUGUAAAGCACUUUCAGUGGGGAAGAAAGCCUUGGGGCUAAUACCCUCGAGGAAGGACAUCACCCACAGAAGAAGCACCGGCUAACUCCGUGCCAGCAGCCGCGGUAAUACGGAGGGUGCGAGCGUUAAUCGGAAUUACUGGGCGUAAAGCGCGCGUAGGCGGUCUGAUAAGCCGGUUGUGAAAGCCCCGGGCUCAACCUGGGAACGGCAUCCGGAACUGUCAGGCUAGAGGGCAGGAGAGGAAGGUAGAAUUCCCGGUGUAGCGGUGAAAUGCGUAGAGAUCGGGAGGAAUACCAGUGGCGAAGGCGGCCUUCUGGACUGACACUGACGCUGAGGUGCGAAAGCGUGGGUAGCAAACAGGAUUAGAUACCCUGGUAGUC